Molecule: small nuclear RNA, 107 nt
Filed under: Carlito syrichta (Philippine tarsier)
Lineage: Eukaryota; Metazoa; Chordata; Mammalia; Primates; Tarsiidae
Source: RNAcentral
GUGCUCACUUCGGCAGCACAUAUACUAAAAUUGGAAUGAUACAGAGAAGAUUAGCAUGGUCCCUGCAUAAGGAUGACAUGCAAAUUUGUGAAGCGUUCCAUUUAAAA